CGGUGAGAGGCACCCUUCACAGGAAAGGUUGUCUUUCACCAUGUGAAUGGAGAAGUUCCUGGUUCUUCAUAUGCCAAAUGAUUUUGGAUUAAAUCCGACACAUCUUAAAUAUUAUGUUGUGAGAUUCUGGGUCUUGUUUAAUCCUGUGGUGAAUAUGAAUAGUUUUUUUUAGCAGUCUGAUUAGUCAGACUGAAAGUUUAAAACUGCAGUGGUUCCAAUGUCAAGUCAGUUUUAAAAGCCUUGCAAUGUUAUUUGGAUCUACUCCAUCUGCACAUCAGCUGGUGGUCAGUUUGGGAUCACCAAACUGGGUGGAGAUCUGUCUUUUAGUUCAACUCUCUCUUUUAUCUUAUUACAUUUUAUUUUAUUGUGGUAAGAACUUUUAACAUGUAAUAUACCUUCUUGACAGAGUUUUAAGUAUACAUUAUUGUUGAUUAUAGUUAAAAGGUUGUACAGAAGAUCUCUAGAGCUUAUUCAUCUUGAUUAAUUGAAACUUAAUGCCCCUUGAUUAGUAACUCCCCAUUUUCCUCCCCCCAACCACUGGCAACCACCAUUCCACUCUCUGAUUCUAUGAAUUUGAUCAUUUUGGAUACCUCAUCUAAAUGGAAUCAUGUAAUAUUUGUCUUUCUGUGACUGGCUUAUCUGACUUAGGUUCAUCUAUGUCGUUAAGAUUCAUUCAUGUUAUCACACACUGCAGAAUUUUCUUUUUAAAAUUUGUAUAAUAUUUCAUUUUCUUUAUGUAUCUGUCAAUGGACAUUUAGAUUGCUUUUACAUCUUGGAUAUUAUGAAUAAUGUUGCAAUAAACAUGGAAGUGCUGAUAAUUCUUUGAGAUUCUGAUUGUGGUUCUUUUGAAUAAAUACCCAGAAA
This 864-nucleotide long non-coding RNA is filed under the name Homo sapiens (human). Its description in RNAcentral is "HSALNT0201362". The record is from RNAcentral. Lineage: Eukaryota; Metazoa; Chordata; Mammalia; Primates; Hominidae.